Molecule: long non-coding RNA, 523 nt
Organism: Hippocampus zosterae (dwarf seahorse)
Lineage: Eukaryota; Metazoa; Chordata; Actinopteri; Syngnathiformes; Syngnathidae
Exons: 2
Source: RefSeq, a predicted model, not a curated record
CAUCAUUCUCAUCACCAUCGUUUCUUCCGCUUCCCCUGCUGUGAUGCUAGCUGCUGUCCCACACGCUUUAUUCAUGAUGUCACUAAUGGUGUCGGUGAGUGGUCAAGACGAGGAGUCUACAGUUGCCGAGAGACCUUACACGGUCUUACAGAAACAAAAUUUAGUCGCGCUGGGGAGCGUCGUCGGUGUCCUGCUGCUGCUGCUGAUCAUCAUGGCCGUGUGCGUCUACAAGCCUCUACCCAGGCGCUGAGCGUGUCCUCACGGGCGGAGACUCGACAUCAAACACCACCUAAUGGGCCACUCAGUGGUGAUCAAAUCCACCCAGCCAGAGAAAGGUGGGCCUUCGAGUGGCUCUACCUCUUGUCCAUUUAUUUAUUACAGGCAACUGGAUCCCACCUCAUGCAAUAUACAGUUUGCAAAUUAUGCUUGUAGAAAUUCAGUGUUUGAGUUAUAUAUUUCUGUUAUUUAUUUUAAGUGAAGACUUAUGUAAAUAAAUGUUUUGGGUGUUUUCAACACUACUUGA